Molecule: unclassified non-coding RNA, 232 nt
Filed under: Hevea brasiliensis (rubber tree)
Lineage: Eukaryota; Viridiplantae; Streptophyta; Magnoliopsida; Malpighiales; Euphorbiaceae
Source: RNAcentral
UAAAGAUUUAUCCUUUCUUUCAGUGACAUGCAACUCCUAGAACACAGAUUCUAACAUUUUUGAAUUACCUUGCUAUGAUAUAAGAACCCUAAAAACUUUGAAUUUCUUUUGCAUAUGUAAUCAAUUUCUCCCAUCCAAAGACCUUUAAGCUGUCUCAGAGAUACCAUCUUCCCCCUUGCAAUUCACGCACUGGGCAGUGCUUUCCAUAAUACAACUCUCUGUAUUGUAGUAG